UGGGCGAAGCCUGAUCCAGCCAUGCCGCGUGCAGGAUGAAGGCCUUCGGGUUGUAAACUGCUUUUGUACGGAACGAAAAGACUCUGGUUAAUACCUGGGGUCCAUGACGGUACCGUAAGAAUAAGCACCGGCUAACUACGUGCCAGCAGCCGCGGUAAUACGUAGGGUGCAAGCGUUAAUCGGAAUUACUGGGCGUAAAGCGUGCGCAGGCGGUUAUAUAAGACAGAUGUGAAAUCCCCGGGCUCAACCUGGGAACUGCAUUUGUGACUGUAUAGCUAGAGUACGGCAGAGGGGGAUGGAACUCCGCGUGUAGCAGUGAAAUGCGUAGAUAUGCGGAGGAACACCGAUGGCGAAGGCAAUCCCCUGGGCCUGUACUGACGCUCAUGCACGAAAGCGUGGGGAGCAAACAGGAUUAGAUACCCUGGUAGUCCACGCCCUAAACGAUGUCAACUGGUUGUUGGGUCUUCACUGACUCAGUAACGAAGCUAACGCGUGAAGUUGACCGCCUGGGGAGUACGGCCGCAAGGUUGAAACUCAAAUGAAUUGACGGGGAAUCGNAAUUCCCGCGGCCGCCAUGGCGGCCGGGAGCAUGCGACGUCGGGCCCAAUUCGCCCUAWGUGGNARKNCGUAU
This 631-nucleotide ribosomal RNA is filed under the name uncultured Acidovorax sp. RNAcentral describes it as "bacterial SSU rRNA". It matches the Rfam family "Bacterial small subunit ribosomal RNA", at positions 372 to 1287 of the family's 1533-position model. Lineage: Bacteria; Pseudomonadati; Pseudomonadota; Betaproteobacteria; Burkholderiales; Comamonadaceae. The record is from RNAcentral.